UACAUGUGGGGCAAGCGUUGUUCGGAAUUACUGGGCAUAAAGGGUGCGUAGGCGGCUUGUUAAGUCAGGGGUGAAAGUUUUCGGCCCAACCGGAAAAUUGCCUUUGAUACUGGCGAGCUUGAGUGCGUGAGGGGUAACCGGAACGAGUGGUGUAGCGGUGAAAUGCGUAGAUAUCACUCGGAAGCCAAAGGCGAAGGCAGGUUACUGGUACGCAACUGACGGCUGAGGCACGAAAGCGUGGGGAGCAAACAGGG
RNAcentral lists this ribosomal RNA (254 nucleotides) under uncultured bacterium. RNAcentral describes it as "partial 16S ribosomal RNA". It matches the Rfam family "Bacterial small subunit ribosomal RNA", at positions 524 to 777 of the family's 1533-position model. The record is from RNAcentral.